RNAcentral lists this ribosomal RNA (423 nucleotides) under uncultured bacterium. Its description in RNAcentral is "bacterial SSU rRNA". It matches the Rfam family "Bacterial small subunit ribosomal RNA", at positions 362 to 776 of the family's 1533-position model. The record is from RNAcentral.
UCUUCCGCAAUGGACGAAAGUCUGACGGAGCAACGCCGCGUGAGUGAUGAAGGCUUUCGGGUCGUAAAACUCUGUUGUUAGGGAAGAACAAGUGCUAGUUGAAUAAGCUGUCACCUUGACGGUACCUAACCAGAAAGCCACGGCUCACUACGUGCCAGCAGCCGCGGUAAUACGGAGGUGGCGAUCGUUAUCCGGAAUUAUUGGGCGUAAAGCGCGCGCAGGUGGUUUCUUAAGUAUGAUGUGAAAGCCCACGGCUCAACCGUGGAGGGUGAUUGGAAACUGGGAGGCUUGAGUGCAGAAGAGGAAAGUGGAAUUCCAUGUGUAGCGGUGAAAUGCGUAGAGAUAUGGAGGAACACCAGUGGCGAAGGCGACUUUCUGGUCUGUAACUGACACUGAGGCGCGAAAGCGUGGGGAGCAAACAGG